UAUUGCACACUGGGCGCAAGCCUGAUGCAGCCAUGCCGCGUGUAUGAAGAAGGCCUUCGGGUUGUAAAGUACUUUCAGCGGGGAGGAAGGCGAUAAGGUUAAUAACCUUGUCGAUCGACGCUACCCGCAGAAGAAGCACCGGCUAACUCCGUGCCAGCAGCCGCGGUAAUAUGGAGGGUGCAAGCGUUAAUCGGAAUUAACGGGCGUAAAGCGCACGCAGGCGGUCUGUCAAGUCGGAUGUGAAAUCCCCGGGCUCAACCUGGGAACUGCAUUCGAAACUGGCAGGCUAGAGUCUUGUAGAGGGGGGUAGAGUUCCAGGUGUAGCGGUGAAAUGCGUAGAGAUCUGGAGGAAUACCGGUGGCGAAGGCGGCCCCCUGGACAAAGACUGACGCUCAGGUGCGAAAGCGUGGGGAGCAAACAGG
Molecule: ribosomal RNA, 422 nt
Filed under: uncultured bacterium
Lineage: Bacteria
Description: bacterial SSU rRNA
Rfam family: Bacterial small subunit ribosomal RNA
Source: RNAcentral